RNAcentral lists this ribosomal RNA (405 nucleotides) under uncultured soil bacterium. RNAcentral describes it as "bacterial SSU rRNA". It matches the Rfam family "Bacterial small subunit ribosomal RNA", at positions 26 to 431 of the family's 1533-position model. The record is from RNAcentral.
AGAUUGAACGCUGGCGGCAUGCCUUACACAUGCAAGUCGAACGCGAAAGGGGGGCAACCCCCGAGUAGAGUGGCGAACGGGUGAGUAAUACAUCGGAACGUAUCCAGUAGCGGGGGAUAACCUCUCGAAAGAGAGGCUAAUACCGCAUACGACCUACGGGUGAAAGAGGGGGAUCGCAAGACCUCUCACUAUUGGAGCGGCCGAUGUCGGAUUAGCUAGUUGGCGGGGUAACGGCCCACCAAGGCUACGAUCCGUAGCUGGUCUGAGAGGACGACCAGCCACACUGGAACUGAGACACGGUCCAGACUCCUACGGGAGGCAGCAGUGGGGAAUUUUGGACAAUGGGCGCAAGCCUGAUCCAGCCAUGCCGCGUGAGUGAAGAACGGCCUUCGGGGUUAGUAAAGU